UCUCUUAAGCUUUUUAGUUGGCAUGCAUUCAGAACUCCAAGUCCUAAAGAAAGUUACGCUGACCUUUGUAGAGAUGUUGUUGAGUACUGUGGGGGGUUGCCGGUAGCUCUUGAAAUCCUU
RNAcentral lists this microRNA precursor (120 nucleotides) under Medicago truncatula (barrel medic). RNAcentral's name for it is "miR5248 stem-loop (mtr-MIR5248)". Lineage: Eukaryota; Viridiplantae; Streptophyta; Magnoliopsida; Fabales; Fabaceae. The record is from miRBase by way of RNAcentral.